Molecule: long non-coding RNA, 1703 nt
Organism: Chloebia gouldiae (Gouldian finch)
Lineage: Eukaryota; Metazoa; Chordata; Aves; Passeriformes; Passeridae
Source: Ensembl
UCAGACACGGUGUGUGUGCUCCUUCUCCCUCAGACAUGGUGUGUGUGCUCCUUCUCCCUCAGACAUGUGUGUGCUCCUUCUCCCUCAGACACGGUGUGUGUGCUCCUUCUCCCUCAGACAUGGUGUGUGUGUGUGUGUGCUCCUUCUCCCUCAGACAUGGUGUGUGUGCUCCUUCUCCCUCAGACAUGUGUGUGCUCCUUCUCCCUCAGAUAUGUGUGUGCUCCUUUCCCAGCCCAUCCCAGCUGUCCCUCAUUACAUGCUCCGCCUGAGCCCCACGCAGGGUCGGGUUGCGCUGAGGCAAAGGUCAGAGGAACCUCCAGCCUGCAUUUUGCCAUUGCUUGAUUAUUCAGAUAACAAACAACCCAAAGACUGACGGGGCUUCUCUGUGCCCACAGACAGGGUGCGAUCACUGUAGUAAAAGAAAAAGGCAAUUUCUAAUUCCUCCUUGCUUCCUUCUAUCCUGAAUCUCUCAAAAAUAAUUCAGUGAGCAGAUGGUGUUUGUGGAGCUGGUGCUUGGCCACAGACUCCUUGCUAUGCCACGUCCUGCUUUUAAUAUACUGCCCAGCAUUAAUCAAGCAGUUUAGAAGCAUCCUGUAUCAGUUGCGCAAAACAGGGCUGAAAUGAUUUACUGUCGGAUUCUUUCAGCUCCUGUUAGGCUCCUGUUUUUCUUUCAUGUGGGGAGCAGGGGUCAGUGGCGGCGGGAGAUCCGUGCUUUCACUCGGCCAACAUUUGCUGCUGUCAUUCCGAGCCCGCUCCGGUCCCCGCCAAGCGACGGAUGUGUUCAUGCUCCCAGCCCUGGAUGCUAAUUGAUUUUAGGGAGCCCAUUCAUCAGUUAAAUUUAGUAGAUCACCCACCAGGUUUGCUGUUCACUGUCAAAGGUAAUUCAAUUAAAACUCCACAAGUGUGACUAACCAGUGGAUGGUAAAUAUGUUCACCAGCUGUGUUUGCUGGGCCUUCUCCACCCUAUUGUGUCUGUGCCUGGCAGAGGAUGUGCUCAAGCCCUAUACCUUGGCUGAUUAAUAUAUACAACAAAACUGCAGCACUGCCAAAAAAUUAAGCACAAAUGCCACCUUUGGGAUUUGAAUGACUGAAUAUAAGAGCUUCAGAGAAGAGAAAUCCUCAUGUGUGUUCAAGGUAGCAGUGCUAGAGUGGUUGAAUUAACUCAGGUCUUGGGGUUUUUAAAACACCUUCCAAGGAAUCCAAUUAGUUUUUCUGGUUUUGAAAAUAAUUUCCAAAGAAUCCAAUUUGGCUUUUAAAAUCCAUUGACAGUUUGGUUUCUCCUCAUUCACUCCCACUUUGUCCUCAGCCAGAGUUGAUGUGAAGCCAUCCAGUAUGGUUAUUUCCAUCACCAAAGCCAUGUAUAAAUCAGGGAUGCAUCACAGGAGCUCAUGGAAAGAUGUUUCUAUUAAACCCUGAGGUGGGGGAACCUUGCUGGACCCUCCUGCCUGACCAGCUGAGAUUUGAGUCUCCUGCCUGCUGCCAUCGGGCGCUCAGAUGUGGUUUGGUAGUAAUUAAGUGCAUCGUUAACGAUCCCAUUGCAAACCACGGGACAAAAUGGUGUGUCUGCUUAAUAGAUUAAAGGAAAACAUUCUCUGAAAAGCACAGGUAAACAAGACACUCAUCCCUCAACCUUUCACCCUGGAAGACCAAGGUUCACAUCCCACUGGAGCACAAAUAAAUAGGGACUGGACUCCCCUAGCUCA